GACAUAGGUUGCGAACGUUAUCCGGAAUUAUUGGGCGUAAAGGAUGCGUAGAUGGUUUGAUAAGUUAUCAGUGGCAAAUCGGGGCUCAACCUCGUGGAAGCUGGUAAUACUGUCAUACUCGAGUGCAGGAGAAGUUAACGGAACUCUAUACGGAGCGGUAAAAUGUGACGAUAUAUAGAAGAACACCAAUAAGGCGAAGGCAGUUAACUAUUCUGUUACUGACGUUGAGGCAUGAAAGCGUGGGGAGCAAAACGG
RNAcentral lists this ribosomal RNA (255 nucleotides) under uncultured bacterium. RNAcentral describes it as "partial 16S ribosomal RNA". It matches the Rfam family "Bacterial small subunit ribosomal RNA", at positions 524 to 776 of the family's 1533-position model. The record is from RNAcentral.